Molecule: ribosomal RNA, 463 nt
Filed under: uncultured bacterium
Lineage: Bacteria
Description: bacterial SSU rRNA
Rfam family: Bacterial small subunit ribosomal RNA
Source: RNAcentral
GAUGAACGCUGGCGGCGUGCUUAAUACAUGCAAGUCGAACGGAGACUGUAGCAAUACUGUCUUAGGUGGCGAACGGGUGAGUAACGCGUUGGUGACCUGCCCCGAAGAGGGGGAUAACAGUCCGAAAGGAUUGCUAAUACCCCAUGUGGUCGUUUGGAUUAGAUGCCUUACGACUAAACGGAUUUAUUCGCUUCGGGAGGGGCCUGCGUCCCCAUCAGCUAGUUGGUAGGGUAAUAGCCUACCAAGGCGAUGACGGGUAGGGGACCUGAGAGGGUGGCCCCCCACAAUGGAACUGAAACACGGUCCAUACACCUACGGGUGGCAGCAGUAGGGAAUAUUGGUAAUCUGGGAAACCGGGAACCAGCAACGCCGCGUGCGCGAUGAAGGCCUUCGGGUUGUAAAGCGCUUUUUAAAGGGAUGAGGAAGGACAGUACCUUUAGAAUAAGCCUCGGCUAACUACGUG